GUCAAAUCCAUAAUUUGUGUGAUUAGGAGAAUAAAUACAAUCUAGUGGAUUGUAUGAAUAUAAGGAUUUAUUUUCAGUGAAAUCUGCCACUAAUAUUGGUGUAAUUUUUUCAUUUAUAGGGACAGAGCUGGCAUUUAAGAAGGGUGAUUGAAAAAUAUCAAGUGAAAGAUACCUCUGUUUUCCUUCCUCUCAGGCAAUGUUGGCAGCAAGCACACACACAGUAACGUUGAAUGGUUACAUGCAUUCAAGGGAUGUACAUUAUGGACCAUACCCUGAAAUACAGACCUCAUCACCUUUACCACAGCCUGUUUCAAAUUUCUUCAUGCUGGGUUUCCAAGGGUGUUCUUCAGUGCAUGGUAACAAGCUUCAGAGUAUUUUGUAGCCAAACAUGUAAGUCAUAGAACACAUGGCCAGGAGGAACCUCGGAAGACCCUCAUCUCCAGUUCUUCAUUUCAAAGACUAAACUACUGCAGACAGAUGUUCAUCAAUCCCAUUCUUGAGAUAUUCCAAGAGGUUUUGCAACCUACAAUCCAUUUAGUCUUCAUAUUCCUUUAGACACUCACUUUCUUAGUUAGAAAGUAUUUCCUGAUGUGUAAAACCAAAUCUCUUCUAUUAAACAAUUGCAAUUAAAUUGCUUCAAG
RNAcentral lists this long non-coding RNA (641 nucleotides) under Anas platyrhynchos platyrhynchos (common mallard). RNAcentral's name for it is "lncRNA (ENSAPLG00000025376.1)". Lineage: Eukaryota; Metazoa; Chordata; Aves; Anseriformes; Anatidae. The record is from RNAcentral.